UACGGAGGGUGCAAGCGUUAAUCGGAUUUAUUGGGCGUAAAGAGCACGUAGGCGGCAAUGCAAGUUAGAUGUGAAAUUUCGGGGCUCAACCCCGAAGGUGCAUUUAAAACUGCAUAGCUAGAGGAUAGGCGGAGAAAGAGGAAUUCCAAGUGUAGCGGUGAAAUGCGUAGAUAUUUGGAAGAACACCUGUGGCUAAAGCGUCUUUCUAGCUUAUUCCUGACGCUGAGGUGCGAGAGCAAGGGGAGCAAACAGG
Molecule: unclassified non-coding RNA, 253 nt
Filed under: uncultured Chlamydiales bacterium
Lineage: Bacteria; Pseudomonadati; Chlamydiota; Chlamydiia; Chlamydiales
Description: contains 16S-23S intergenic spacer region
Rfam family: Bacterial small subunit ribosomal RNA
Source: RNAcentral